This 188-nucleotide long non-coding RNA is filed under the name Dasypus novemcinctus (nine-banded armadillo). Its description in RNAcentral is "lncRNA (ENSDNOG00000052123.1)". The record is from RNAcentral. Lineage: Eukaryota; Metazoa; Chordata; Mammalia; Cingulata; Dasypodidae.
CAUGAUUGCCACAUUCUUGUUCGUGUCCUACAACAAAGGAGACUGGUGUUACUGCCACUACUGUAACCCAGACUUGGAUGUCAGAAAUGACCCUUGCUGUUCCUUUUAGUGACCUUGCUCCGUCUCAGCUCAACCUUUGAACGUCCUCCAUCUCCCAGAUAUUUUCAUCCCCAAACAUACGUGCUCUG